UAGGUACAACCUCGAUCCCUCCACACUGU
RNAcentral lists this non-coding RNA (29 nucleotides) under Mus musculus (house mouse). Lineage: Eukaryota; Metazoa; Chordata; Mammalia; Rodentia; Muridae. The record is from RNAcentral.